Long non-coding RNA from Oreochromis aureus, 1786 nucleotides. The record is from Ensembl. Lineage: Eukaryota; Metazoa; Chordata; Actinopteri; Cichliformes; Cichlidae.
GCAAAAACAACCGCUUAAACCACCAAUUAGCCUAAAUACCACAAUCCCUAAAGUCAGAGUGUACAUUUUACAAUGUUUUAAAAGUGUUUCUUUUUUUCUUCAUGGAUGUGUAUCAUAUACUUUGUAUCAGCACCAAAAUAUGGACUUAAGAUGGAAUAUAAAUGGGGCUGCUGUUGAAUUGCAUUAAACUGCAUAACAUUGUGAUAGACACUGAGUGAUGGGCAAGAUAUGGUUAGUUUGUUACCGAUCUAAAAAUAGUCCAGUGACAGUGUGAGCAAUAAUUAAACAAAGUCUGUGGAAGAUCUGUGAGGUUCCUUUUAUUUCUGCAAAGUCAUGAACAUGCUAGUUGUACUUCCCUUUUCACAUUUCCACACACAGAGUGAGAACAGCUUUUCAAAACAGGCUGAUCUGUAGCAGGAGCCAUUUCUGACUGUUACCUGCUGGACAAAUGUGCAUGUCAUUUAAUAAAGUACUCUGACGGCUGCCGACUGUGUCAACACACACUGAACAGUGAGGAGACAUGGAAGCUGUGCUGGGAUUGAUGGUGAUCCUACUGGGAGUGUCUCAUGGUGUGGAAACUUACUGUGAUGGCAGACAGAAUGGAACUCAGUGUUAUGGAGCUUUGGGAGGAACUGUGGACAUCCAGCUGAUGGACAGCAUCUCUGAAAUACCUAGAUACUACUUGUUAAAGGAUUCAUUAAAAAUACUACAUGUCAUAAAUAAUACGGUUAUUUCUAAUACCAUAGAACGCAGGUCUCUCUUUUUUCUCAGUAGUCGAAUAUUUAGGAUCAAUAACCUGAGCAGGACAGACAGUGGUGAUUAUACCCUUCAAACCUUUAAUUCAGAUGGAUAUUCAUCAGGCGAGCGGACUUUACAGUUGUUUAUUCAAGCUCCUGUGUCCUCUGUCCUGCUGGUCUCUGAGUGUCUGUCCCAGGGAGAGAUGAGGGUGUCCUGCUCCUCUGAGGGAGGGGACAGUCCUCUGUACAGCUGGACUCUGGAUGGACGCACACUGACAGAUGCUGAGCUCCUUUCUGGAAAUAAUGAGACUAACAACAUCACUCUGAAACAGCACAUCUCAGGACAUCUGGUCUGCUCAGUCAGGAACAACGUCAGUAAUGUCUCAGAAGAACAGAAGACCUGUAGUUUCAUUAACUGCACCUCAAUCAAUGAGACACAGAUAGUAGGGUGGGUGCAUGCAAACAGAAACAACCUGUGUAUUGAACCAACAACUGAACCUACACCAGUCACACCAACUGCAGUGGGUACUUCCUGGUUCAUAUUUGGCUUGAAAGCCGCUGUGGUAAUUCUGUCAUUAAGUGGGAUUUGGAUCUGGUUCACUUGGAAGAAAAAAACAAUAUUGGAAGUCUCUGCUGUUCCACAAAGGAUGGAAUCUCCAGAUAACUCUGUUUUAAUGAUUGAAAUGAGUCCUUACUCCAACACCUAGUGUCACCUUUCACCUGCUGUAUCGGAUAUCCGUGUAGGUGUGGAAAUAAAAACAUUUUUUCACAAGAUAACAACUGUGUAUAAAUGUCCAUAAAAAUGUGGUUCUUUCUGUAAUUUCUGUAAUUUUAUAUUUAGGUCCUCUUAAAUAUAAUCAAAGUGGAAAGAACUCUCUCUCCUUCAUAGCUUUUAUUUUGCAUUUACAUUUCAUCUGUAGUGCUGAAGGACACAUUUGUGUACGGAUGUUUUCACCAUUUGUUGUUUGUUGCUGCAUUUUAAAAUAAUCAACCAUAUAACUUAAAAUGUGAUGUCAGUGUGUGAAUAAAGUGCCAAUAAAAGAGUUUAU